Molecule: ribosomal RNA, 441 nt
Filed under: uncultured bacterium
Lineage: Bacteria
Description: bacterial SSU rRNA
Rfam family: Bacterial small subunit ribosomal RNA
Source: RNAcentral
AACGCGAAGAACCUUACCUACUCUUGACAUCCUACGAACCCGACUGAGAGGUUGGGGUGCCGAAAGGAACGUAGAGACAGGUGCUGCAUGGCUGUCGUCAGCUCGUGUUGUGAGAUGUUGGGUUAAGUCCCGUAACGAGCGCAACCCUUAUCCUUAGUUGCCAGUGCGUAAAGGCAGGCACUCUAAGGAGACUGCUGGUGAGGAACCGGAGGAAGGUGGGGACGACGUCAAGUCAUCAUGGCCUUUAUGAGUAGGGCUACACACGUGCUACAAUGGGGUGUACAGAGGGCAGCGAACCUGUGAAGGGGAGCCAAUCCUUGAAAGCAUCUCGUAGUCCGGAUUGAAGUCUGCAACUCGACUUCAUGAAGUCGGAAUCGCUAGUAAUCGCGAAUCAGAACGUCGCGGUGAAUACGUUCCCGGGCCUUGUACACACCGCUCGUC